GACGAACGCUGGCGGCGUGCUUAACACAUGCAAGUCGAACGGAAAGGCCCUGCUUUUGUGGGGUGCUCGAGUGGCGAACGGGUGAGUAACACGUGAGUAACCUGCCCUUGACUUUGGGAUAACUUCAGGAAACUGGGGCUAAUACCGGAUAGGAGCUCCUGCUGCAUGGUGGGGGUUGGAAAGUUUCGGCGGUUGGGGAUGGACUCGCGGCUUAUCAGCUUGUUGGUGGGGUAGUGGCUUACCAAGGCUUUGACGGGUAGCCGGCCUGGGAGGGUGACCGGCCACAAUGGGACUGCGAUACGGCCCAGACUCCUACGGGAGGCAGCAGUGGGGAAUAUUGCACAGUGGGCGGAAGCCUGAUGCAGCAACGCCGCGUGCGGGAUGACGGCCUUCGGGUUGUAAACCGCUUUCGCCUGUGACGAAGCGUGAGUGACGGUAAUGGGUAAAGAAGCACCGGCUAACUACGUG
RNAcentral lists this ribosomal RNA (468 nucleotides) under uncultured bacterium. Its description in RNAcentral is "partial 16S ribosomal RNA". It matches the Rfam family "Bacterial small subunit ribosomal RNA", at positions 28 to 507 of the family's 1533-position model. The record is from RNAcentral.